ACUCCUACGGGAGGCAGCAGUGGGGAAUAUUGCACAAUGGGCGCAAGCCUGAUGCAGCAACGCCGCGUGAGUGAUGAAGGCCUUCGGGUCGUAAAGCUCUGUCCUCAAGGAAGAAUAAAUGACGGUACUUGAGGAGGAAGCCCCGGCUAACUACGUGCCAGCAGCCGCGGUAAUACGUAGGGGCAAGCGUUAUCCGGAAUCACUGGGCGUAAAGGGUGCGUAGGCGGUUUUUCAAGUCAGAAGUGAAAGGCUAUGGCUCAACCAUAGUAAGCUUUUGAAACUGUUAAACUUGAGUGCAGGAGAGGAAAGUGGAAUUCCUAGUGUAGAGGUGAAAUUCGUAGAUAUUAGGAGGAACACCAGUGGCGAAGGCGACUUUCUGGACUGUAACUGACGCUGAGGCACGAAAGCGUGGGAGCGAACAGGAUUAGAUACCCUGGUAGACUGUCA
This 447-nucleotide ribosomal RNA is filed under the name uncultured bacterium. Its description in RNAcentral is "bacterial SSU rRNA". It matches the Rfam family "Bacterial small subunit ribosomal RNA", at positions 335 to 802 of the family's 1533-position model. The record is from RNAcentral.